CCCUUAGAUGUUCUGGGCUGCACACGUGCUACACUGGCAGGUUCAGCGAGCUUCAUGCCCUGAUCUGAAAGGAAUGGGAAAUCUUUUCAAAACCUGCCGUGCUUGGGAUAGAUGUUUGCAAUUAUUCAUCUUCAACGAAGAUUGCCUUGUAAGCGCACGUCAUCAGCGUGCAUUGAAUACGACCCUGUAUUCUGUACACACCGCCCGUCGCUCCUACCGAUUGAAGUUUUCGGUGAGUUGACAGGAGGAUUUUUUUGAAACUGGUUCGCCAGUGGAUUUUAGAUCCAAAUGCCAACGAAUCGAUGGCUUUAGAGGAAGGAGAAGUCGUAACA
This 332-nucleotide ribosomal RNA is filed under the name uncultured eukaryote. RNAcentral's name for it is "partial 18S ribosomal RNA". It matches the Rfam family "Eukaryotic small subunit ribosomal RNA", at positions 1470 to 1796 of the family's 1831-position model. The record is from RNAcentral.